GGAAGGAUCAUUACCGAGUUGAUUCGAGCCCGGCUCGACUCUCCCACCCAAUGUGUACCUACCUCUGUUGCUUUGGCGGGCCGCGGUCCUCCGCACCGGCGCCCUUCGGGGGGCUGGCCAGCGCCCGCCAGAGGACCAUAAAACUCCAGUCAGUGAACUUUGCAGUCUGAGAAACAAGUUAAUAAACUAAAACUUUCAACAACGGAUCUCUUGGUUCUGGCAUCGAUGAAGAACGCAGCGAAAUGCGAUAAGUAAUGUGAAUUGCAGAAUUCAGUGAAUCAUCGAAUCUUUGAACGCACAUUGCGCCCCUUGGUAUUCCGAGGGGCAUGCCUGUUCGAGCGUCAUUUCAACCCUCAAGCUCUGCUUGGUAUUGGGCUCCGUCCUCCACGGACGCGCCUUAAAGACCUCGGCGGUGGCGUCUUGCCUCAAGCGUAGUAGAAAACACCUCGCUUUGGAGCGCACGGCGUCGCCCGCCGGACGAACCUUUGAAUUAUUUCUCAAGGUUGACCUCGGUC
Molecule: ribosomal RNA, 515 nt
Filed under: Neofusicoccum ribis
Lineage: Eukaryota; Fungi; Ascomycota; Dothideomycetes; Botryosphaeriales; Botryosphaeriaceae
Description: eukaryotic LSU rRNA
Rfam family: 5.8S ribosomal RNA (bases 191-344)
Source: RNAcentral